AACAGGUAUGGUUUUUAGUGAAGGGGUUUUACUCCCACAUUAAUUUAUACAUUUAAUCACAACAACCCACACCAAUAAGGCUCUAUGCCACACCGCUAGCCUUGGAGAGCAUCUUCAAGGAUGCUGUUUCAAUACUUGCUAUAUUAGAUACUCAUAAUAAAAUGUGCCUGGAAAUUCAAGCCAGAUGUGCAGAAAAAGGUACUGGCUUUACUGAGACUGAUGUAAG
This is a long non-coding RNA of Pezoporus occidentalis (night parrot), 226 nucleotides long. RefSeq lists it as uncharacterized. The transcript has 2 exons. NCBI's taxonomy places the organism in Eukaryota, Metazoa, Chordata, Aves, Psittaciformes, Psittacidae. The record is from RefSeq and is a predicted model, not a curated record.